This 510-nucleotide ribosomal RNA is filed under the name uncultured bacterium. RNAcentral describes it as "partial 16S ribosomal RNA". It matches the Rfam family "Bacterial small subunit ribosomal RNA", at positions 28 to 507 of the family's 1533-position model. The record is from RNAcentral.
GACGAACGCUGGCGGCGUGCUUAACACAUGCAAGUCGAACGAAGAGCGAUGGAAGCUUGCUUCUAUCAAUCUUAGUGGCGAACGGGUGAGUAACGCGUAAUCAACCUGCCCUUCAGAGGGGGACAACAGUUGGAAACGACUGCUAAUACCGCAUACGAUCUAAUCUCGGCAUCGAGGAUAGAUGAAAGGUGGCCUCUACAUGUAAGCUAUCACUGAAGGGGGGGAUUGCGUCUGAUUAGCUAGUUGGAGGGGUAACGGCCCACCAAGGCGAUGAUCAGUAGCCGGUCUGAGAGGAUGAACGGCCACAUUGGGACUGAGACACGGCCCAGACUCCUACGGGAGGCGGCAGUGGGGAAUCUUCCGCAAUGGACGAAAGUCUGACGGAGCAACGCCGCGUGAGUGAUGACGGCCUUCGGGUUGUAAAGCUCUGUUAAUCGGGACGAAAGGCCUUCUUGCGAAUAGUGAGAAGGAUUGACGGUACCGGAAUAGAAAGCCACGGCUAACUACGUG